Molecule: ribosomal RNA, 452 nt
Filed under: uncultured bacterium
Lineage: Bacteria
Description: bacterial SSU rRNA
Rfam family: Bacterial small subunit ribosomal RNA
Source: RNAcentral
GCGAACGCUGGCGGCAGGCCUAACACAUGCAAGUCGAACGCGUGUAGCAAUACACGAGUGGCAGACGGGUGAGUAACACGUGGGAACGUGCCCUUCGGUUCGGAAUAACUCAGGGAAACUUGAGCUAAUACCGGAUACGCCCUUACGGGGAAAGAUUUAUCGCCGAUGGAUCGGCCCGCGUCUGAUUAGCUAGUUGGUGAGGUAACGGCUCACCAAGGCGACGAUCAGUAGCUGGUCUGAGAGGAUGAUCAGCCACACUGGGACUGAGACACGGCCCAGACUCCUACGGGAGGCAGCAGUGGGGAAUAUUGGACAAUGGGGGAAACCCUGAUCCAGCCAUGCCGCGUGAGUGAUGAAGGCCCUAGGGUUGUAAAGCUCUUUCGGCGGGGACGAUAAUGACGGUACCCGCAGAAGAAGCCCCGGCUAACUUCGUGCCAGCCGCCGCGGUAAUU